Molecule: transfer RNA, 74 nt
Filed under: Christensenella massiliensis
Lineage: Bacteria; Bacillati; Bacillota; Clostridia; Christensenellales; Christensenellaceae
Also listed under: 2 other names
Description: tRNA-Gly
Rfam family: tRNA
About the family: Transfer RNA (tRNA) molecules are approximately 80 nucleotides in length.
Source: RNAcentral
GCGGGUGUAGCUCAAUGGUAGAGCGUCGGCCUUCCAAGCCGAAUACGUGGGUUCGAUUCCCAUCACCCGCUCCA